Molecule: long non-coding RNA, 1732 nt
Filed under: Bemisia tabaci
Lineage: Eukaryota; Metazoa; Arthropoda; Insecta; Hemiptera; Aleyrodidae
Description: lncRNA ENSSSA1UGG004442
Source: RNAcentral
UUGAGCUGAAAUUUUUACGGGUGGUAGUUCUCCCCUAGGACUGGUUUGGUAUUGAAUUUGAGCUAAAUCGGCCGAGCCGUUUAAAAAUGGCGAGCUUUGAAAGUUUUAGGCGAGGGGUGCGCGGCAUGAGGGGAGCCGGCCGGAGCAAAGCCGCACAGUGGGUCGGGGAGAAAGUUUUUGGACAAGCUGAUCGUCGCACAGUGGGUCAGGGGGAAGAAGUUUUUGGACAAAAUUUUCGUCGCACAGUGGGUCAGGGGCAGGACGUUUUUGGACAAAAUUUUCGUCGCACAGUGGGUCAGGGGCAGGACGUUUUUGGACAAAAUUUUCGUCGCACAGUGGGUCAGGGGGAAGACGUUUUUGAACAAGCUUUUCGUCGCUCAGUGGUUCAGGGGAAGGAAGAUUUUGGACAAACUGCGCGUCGCACAGUGGGUCAGGUGAAGAAAGUUUUUGGAAGAACUGUUCGUGGCACAGCGGCCCAAGGAAAGGAAAUAUCUGGAAAAAAACUAUCGAUUACACAAUGACUUACAGACGUACGAUUUUAUGACUACAAAAAUCCCACUUCGGGAAAUACACUUCCUUCCCGCGGUGGAUGCGCGGGACACUUAAAAAGAAGGAAAACUAGAUGUGCAGACGACUCUGAAAAGACGCGCGCGAAGCGCGCGUCCUGGGGGGGUUUGGGGGGGCGAAGCCCCCCCAAAAACCGGCGCGGAGCGAAGCGGAGCGCCGGUUUUUUUUUGUUUCCACUUGAAAAAAAUACAUGAAAAAAAAAAAGAUACAGUUUUUAAUCAAUUCCUAUUUCCUUUUUCCCCUCAUGACAACGGUAGCUUUUAUUCAUUGGAUUUAUGUCUACUUUUUUAGAGUAAAAUAAUGUCUGCACUUUUGAAGAAUUACAUUAUUUUUUGUUUUUGAAUCCUCACUUUUAAUGGACAGAAAUAAGCGGAGAGAGAAUUCACGCAGCGAGGAUGCUCCGUUCCCUGUCUUAAAACGUUGUACUGUCUCAAGAGAAUAGAAUGAAAUUUCACAGCGCUCGAUUAUCUCGGUACAGUUUCAUUAUGCCGGUGAUAGGUUAAAGUGUCCAAACAAAAAUGUCCAAACCCUGAAUGCCUAAAAAUCUAAAAAGGCCAAAUAUCAGUAAUGUCCAGCAGACAAAUAAGUCCAAAAGUAGGUGAAUGUCCAAAUUAAGUUGUUAUGGACAAGAAUACAUUUUUUUUUUUUUCGGCUUUUCAUGACAAACGGGAAAAUAUUAGCCAUGUUUGUUAUGUUUGUCAAUAUCACUUAAAAUUUGGCUAAUAAAUCACAAUGCAUCUUUAAAAGUAGGAAUUUGCCUGCUCUCAUGAAAAAUUUUAUCACCAUAUUUUCCUAAUCUGCAUCUCUCCAUUAUCCAACGCAUCUGUUUCUAUGGCUGCAUUCACGAACAGCUUGCCAGCCUGCACCCAAAAAUCCAAUGACAACUCAACCAAUUCCUAAGCUCACAUUUGGACAUUUCCCUACUUUUGGGCUUAUUUGUCUGCUGGACCCUUAGAUUUGGCCUUUUUAGAUUUUUGGGCAUUCAGGGUUUGGACAUUUUGACCUAUCACCCAUUAUGCCUACUGUGUUGAAAAUGACAAUUUUAAUAGAGCGCAUAUUGACAUUACCUGCAUUUUCAGGCGAUUGGAAGACAUUAAAAAUUAGCCAGAUUCAAAUAGCCUAAAAAUACAACACACAUGUGUAACUCAAUACAAUGAAUUAACAU